UGCGUAGGCGGCUUUGUGUGUCGGUUGUGAAAGCCUGUGGCUCAACCACAGAACUGCGACCGAAACUACAGAGCUAGAGUGCAGGAUGGGAGAGCGGAAUUCUUGGUGUAGCGGUGAAAUGCGUUGAUAUCAAGAAGAACACCGGCGGCGAAGGCGGCUCUCUGGAAUGUCACUGACGCUGAGGCACGAAAGCUGGGGGAGCAAACAGGAUUAGAUACCCUGGUAGUCC
Molecule: ribosomal RNA, 229 nt
Filed under: uncultured bacterium
Lineage: Bacteria
Description: partial 16S ribosomal RNA
Rfam family: Bacterial small subunit ribosomal RNA
Source: RNAcentral